Molecule: long non-coding RNA, 262 nt
Organism: Lontra canadensis (Northern American river otter)
Lineage: Eukaryota; Metazoa; Chordata; Mammalia; Carnivora; Mustelidae
Exons: 3
Source: RefSeq, a predicted model, not a curated record
AGAUCCUGAGAGAUGGAAACCAUUACCCUCAAUUGGUCAACAGAAAGGUGGGAAAUGGCUGUAUGAAGAGAUGAUCUCCAAGAACCUUUAAAGGACUAACAUGGCUUGACCGAGACUCGGAGGAACACUAGGUGAUGUGGGGAUUGGCUCCCAUGUGGCCAUACAACAAGAGCCAGAGUGUGGGAGUUACCUGCCUGCAGGGAGAACCUUGGACAGUGAGAAAUGGGAUGCAGGAGGGAGCUGAGCAAAUAAACUCACCCUC